This 301-nucleotide ribosomal RNA is filed under the name uncultured bacterium. RNAcentral describes it as "partial 16S ribosomal RNA". It matches the Rfam family "Bacterial small subunit ribosomal RNA", at positions 509 to 807 of the family's 1533-position model. The record is from RNAcentral.
CAGCCGCCGCGGUAAUACGGAGGGUGCAAGCGUUGUCCGGAUUUAUUGGGUUUAAAGGGUGCGUAGACGGCCUAAUAAGUCAGUGGUGAAAGCCUCCAGCUUAACUGGAGAACUGCCAUUGAUACUGUUAGGCUUGAGUAUACUUGAGGUAGGCGGAAUUGACAGUGUAGCGGUGAAAUGCAUAGAUAUUGUCAAGAACACCAAUUGCGAAGGCAGCUUACUAAAUUAUAACUGACGCUGAGGCACGAAAGUGUGGGUAUCAAACAGGAUUAGAUACCCCUGUAGUCCCUGUCUCUUAUAC